This is a non-coding RNA of Danio rerio (zebrafish), 1734 nucleotides long. The record is from RefSeq and is a predicted model, not a curated record. Lineage: Eukaryota; Metazoa; Chordata; Actinopteri; Cypriniformes; Danionidae.
GUCCACCUGCGUUCUUUUCUCAAAUAACAAGCAUCACGCAGAGCUAAAACAUAAAACUUUUAUCAUAAGAAAUUAUUUACAAAAAUACAGGCUAUAGAUCCUAAAGACGACUAGCUGAUUCUCUAAACGCGUUAUUGGACAAUUUGGCUUUAUAAAAAGCCGUUUAGUCAAAGGAGCUGCUAAAAGGUGAUUUACGUGGGUUUUCAGAAUAUGAAUAGCAAACGCAUUUAUUUUCUCUUUAAAAGUAGUCCAAGUUAUUUUUUAAACACUGGAAGACGAGACUUUUUUGUAGUGAAGAGCCAGUCCCUUGUAGAAUGACGUCAAUGUCGAUAAACGAAUUUUCUUAUAUGAGACGGGAGUGGGAAACCGGGCUUGGGCUGACCCAGACAAUGGCCGUGUCAAUUUACUUUCUGGACAACUUUUUAAUAUCGAAAGAUUAAUGCUCAGUGUCACUGCUGAGAGCUGCUGGUGAAGAUUAUGUGAAUUAUCUCAUGAAUGAAUCAGUUUUUACCUUUAAUGCAAUUGCCAAAUAUGUUACCACAGCAACAAAUUAAUCAACUGGUGCAUUGAUUUCAUUUGUUUGCUGGCACUGAUAUCGAUUAAAAUUGAACAUUUAAAUGGUUCUUUUUUUUAAUCACGUGUCAAGAUUGCUGCAACAAUGUUAUCACAUCCACAUGCAAUAUAUAACUAAAAACGACUUUUAGCAAACAGUGACUACUGUAAGAGCUGACAUCACACUGAAAACAAUUCCAAGCUGUACUUAAUUCAACUAAAAUGUAUCUUUCAUUUUAAAUAUAGUUAAAUAAAUAGUAAAUAAAUAGUUAAAUAUAAACGAUUUUGAUUAAACUAAACUAAGACAUUUUUGUUUUGACCAAUGUAAAUUUUUAAGGCUUCUCACACAGGCCAGUGCGGGCGUAUUAAAGCUCAAUAUGCUUUGUACUUUCAUAGACUUAAAAAAAUAUUAAGGCAAAUUUUUUUUUUUUUUUUUUUUUUAUUGGCUCAAGUGAUCAAAUUUGGAUGUGAAAUACUUAGGCUACUAUUCUUUAAUUGGAUGAAUGAACAUUUUAGUUUUGAAUAAAGCUAUAUAAUAUCUUCUUGUUUAGAACAAAAAGAGAUUGUAAAUAAAUUGACUUUCUUCAACAAGACAAUUAUGUUUUGUACCAGGUUAUAUAAAUUUGUUCUCAUGGAGAUGAGAACUAUUUAGUUUUCAUUGGGUCAAGUGAUACAGUUGAGAUGUGAACCAUUACUCUAAUUUUUAUAUAGGAUGAAUGACUUUUUUUCCCAGUGUAGUAAUAUUUGCCUUGUAUAGGCAAAUAGGCUUACAAAUUUUCAUUUAAUGAAAAAUUAUGUUCAAGCUGAAAAAAAAAGAAAUAAAGCAACGAAAUUGGAAGUUCCGACUUAACGUUUAUUUUUAAUAAAUAGGUGCAGUAGGCCGCGUUCAGCUUUAAACAAAAUUAGUUAGUAUUCUUAUGAUCGACAUCACUUUGUGGAGCGAAAUAUUUUAAAGAACAUGUAUUUGUGGAAAAUAUUUACAAAAUACUGUUCAUUUUAACAGUGACCGUUUUGAUUAUCCCAAAAUAAUUUGGAAGUUUUUGACUUAACCCUUUAACUGCCUACUCUAUUUUGACUGUUUUAAGUCAUUUAAAAAAUGAGAGUUUUAAAUAAUGGUUUACACAGACAGCAAUGUUGGUUUACAAAAAAAAUCGAAUAAACAAUCCUAUUGCACUACUACAA